This is a long non-coding RNA of Lutra lutra (Eurasian river otter), 944 nucleotides long. RefSeq lists it as uncharacterized. The transcript has 3 exons. The record is from RefSeq and is a predicted model, not a curated record. Lineage: Eukaryota; Metazoa; Chordata; Mammalia; Carnivora; Mustelidae.
CGGACCGUCCCGGAGGAGGUGGCGGGCGCAGCUGCCAGGACCGGCCGCCCCGCGAGUGGCGUUCGCUUUCGCUUUUGCUUUAGCCCCCGGAGGGCCGGGGAGAGCCUGACGUUAUUAGAGACCUGUCUGUGAUGAGAGAGCUCUGGGCGCCCAGUCAGAAAUUCCCGGUUACAGGAGGAAAUUAGGCAAAACGAGCCAUCUCUGGGCUGCAGUCUCUUUCCCCAGUGGUGACACCCAGAAUCACUACAAUAUAGUGUCACAACCAGGAAAUUGACCUUCAUGAAGAUCCUCAGGCCUUCAGCAAAUUUUGUGGGCUUUCCACGCACUCACGCACUUCCAUAUUUAGCUCUGCAGAGGUUUGUCACACACGGAUCCGUCGGUGACCACACUGUCAAGACUGGGCAUAGGACCUUCUCGAGGAUCCCUUCUUCUCCUCUGUUACAGCCACAGUGGCCUUCCUCUCUCAGCCUCGCUCUACACCCUGACAACCGUGGACCUAUGCUCCAUCUCUAGAUUUGGUCCCUUGAAGAAUGCUUAAAUGCAGACAUAAUGACUGGAGCUCCAGCAGUCCUAUUGGACCACGAGGAUUCCUGAUAAUCCAAGCACAAACCACCUAUAUAGUAGAAAGAAGAUAGAAAAGUCUGGGUCCCUGACACCAGGGACAUCAGCCUGGACUAUCUUCCUUUGGCCUCUUGAAUUUGAGAGAUAAUAAAUACCUAUCUAAUUUGUCAUGAUUAUUUUUGGUUUCUCUCUUACUAACAACUAAAUGUUAUUGUAACAACACACUUAAAAAGAGAAAUUAUAUUUCAGAUAGACUUGUGUUUUUUCCCCUUAUAGAUUUUCCUUUUAUUAGCCAUGUUAUUUUCAUUUCUGCAAUGGAAAAAUAUAUAAUAUACUCAUUAUUUUCAUCAAUUUUGAGGUACUAUUAAGCCUGUUCUCACAUC